This 301-nucleotide ribosomal RNA is filed under the name uncultured bacterium. RNAcentral describes it as "partial 16S ribosomal RNA". It matches the Rfam family "Bacterial small subunit ribosomal RNA", at positions 509 to 808 of the family's 1533-position model. The record is from RNAcentral.
CAGCCGCCGCGGGAAUACGUAGGGUGCGAGCGUUAAUCGGAUUUACUGGGCGUAAAGCGUGCGCAGGCGGCCCGUUAAGACAGGUGUGAAAUCCCUGGGCUCAACCUAGGAAUUGCGCUUGUGACUGGCGGGCUCGAGUACGGUAGAGGGGGGUGGAAUUCCUGGUGUAGCAGUGAAAUGCGUAGAGAUCAGGAGGAACACCGAUGGCGAAGGCAGCCCCCUGGGCCUGUACUGACGCUCAUGCACGAAAGCGUGGGGAGCAAACAGGAUUAGAUACCCCGUAGUCCCUGUCUCUUAUACA